UACGUAGGUGGCAAGCGUUGUCCGGAAUUAUUGGGCGUAAAGCGCGCGCAGGUGGUUCUUUAAGUCUGAUGUGAAAGCCCACGGCUCAACCGUGGAGGGUCAUUGGAAACUGGGGAACUUGAGUGCAGAAGAGGAAAGUGGAAUUCCAAGUGUAGCGGUGAAAUGCGUAGAGAUUUGGAGGAACACCAGUGGCGAAGGCGACUUUCUGGUCUGUAACUGACACUGAGGCGCGAAAGCGUGGGGAGCAAACAGGG
This 254-nucleotide ribosomal RNA is filed under the name uncultured bacterium. RNAcentral's name for it is "partial 16S ribosomal RNA". It matches the Rfam family "Bacterial small subunit ribosomal RNA", at positions 524 to 777 of the family's 1533-position model. The record is from RNAcentral.